Trichosurus vulpecula (common brushtail) is the source of this 1135-nucleotide long non-coding RNA. RefSeq lists it as uncharacterized. NCBI's taxonomy places the organism in Eukaryota, Metazoa, Chordata, Mammalia, Diprotodontia, Phalangeridae. The record is from RefSeq and is a predicted model, not a curated record. The transcript is spliced from 3 exons.
GAGGAGCAGCGCGCGUGCGCAGGGAGUGACUGGCUGCUGGAGCUCUAGACCCAAAGCACUCCCGGGCCGGAGGAGAAGCCGACCUAAGCGACCCGCAGGGGCAGCGGCCGCUGCAGCCUCCUGGGCUGCUCCGCCCGCUCCUCCCUAGCCGCCCCCCUCCCGCCCCCGCGCUCACUCGUGAGUGAGAUGCUGAAAGACUGUCAGCAACACUGGGGAAGGAAAAAAUCAUGCAAAGAAUUCAGUGUCUUCAAGAAUUUGUCUACAGACACUUGUUAAGUGCCUGCUCUGUGCUAGGCACUAUGGUAGGUCCUGGAGAUUCAAAGACAAAAAUGAAACAGUAAAUAUGGACUUCUUAGAAAUAUUCUAUCAGAGAAAACAACAUGUAUACAUCUCUAUCUGGCCCUGAACCAAGGUAUGAAGAUCUAUUACCACAAGCAAGCCUUUUUCACCUCCGGUAUGUGACAUGGGAACCAAUAUUCUGAUGGAAAGUACUGAGAACAUGAAUCUUCACCACAGAUCCAUGGGGUAUCUGUCUAUUGUCUGAGUUGCUAGAUCUGCAACUUGGAAGUAUUAAGCACAGGCCUCAUCAGGAACAGCCGUCUGACUGGUUAAGCAAUUAACUAAUUAGGUUAAGCUCCUAUGUGGGAGGCCUGACCACAUCAUUCUAAAUGUUGAAUGGAAAUCCCAAAUGAUCAACCAACUCUUGAAAACAGUCACUGAAAAUUCCAUCCAUCACUGCCACACAUUUCACCUACAUCCUUUCCCUCAUCAUCAAAGUAACCAGAGAUCAGUUGAUGACCUAUGAGCCAGGGUGAAUUUUUUUCAGGGUGAAUUUUAAGGCAUUUUUUUGAUGGGGGGGGGGGGGAAGGAACAGCAGUUAUCUACUGCCCCUGGAAACUUUCCCUAGCUAAUAGCCCAGGAGUAUAGCCCAGUAAUUUGUCUGCUGUCCUUUAACAGCAAUAAUGACAAGUCAUAUUGACAUAGUGCUAUAAGAUUUGCUAAGUGUUUUUCUUUAAGCCUAUCCUAUAAAGUAGGCAGUAUGUAUAUUAUUAUCCCCAUUUUACAGGUGAAAAAAUGGGAUUCUAAGAAGAUGAGUUGUAUAUGGUUACACAGAACUAAUAAAUGUUUGAGACAA